This 468-nucleotide ribosomal RNA is filed under the name uncultured bacterium. Its description in RNAcentral is "partial 16S ribosomal RNA". It matches the Rfam family "Bacterial small subunit ribosomal RNA", at positions 28 to 507 of the family's 1533-position model. The record is from RNAcentral.
GACGAACGCUGGCGGCGUGCUUAACACAUGCAAGUCGAACGGAAAGGCCCUGCUUUUGUGGGGUGCUCGAGUGGCGAACGGGUGAGUAACCCGUGAGUAACCUGCCCUUUACUUUGUGAUAACUUCAGGCAACUGGGGCUAAUACCGGAUAGGAGCUCCUGCUGCAUGGUGGGGGUUGGAAAGUUUCGGCGGGUGGGGAUGGACUCGCGGCUUAUUAGCUUGUUGGUGGGGUAGUGGCUUACCAAGGCUUUGACGGAUAGCCGGCCUGAGAGGUGGACCGGCGACAUUGGGACUGAGAUACGGCCCAGACUCCUACGGGAGGCAGCAGUGGGGAAUAUUGCACAAUGGGCGGAAGCCUGAGGCAGCAACGCCGCGUGCGGGAUGACGGCCUUCGGGUUGUAAACCGCUUUCGCCUGUGACGAAGCGUGAGUGACGGUAAUGGGUAAAGAAGCACCGGCUAACUACGUG